This 1048-nucleotide long non-coding RNA is filed under the name Mytilus galloprovincialis (Mediterranean mussel). The record is from RNAcentral. Lineage: Eukaryota; Metazoa; Mollusca; Bivalvia; Mytilida; Mytilidae.
CAAGUGAUUACAUAUUGAUUACAUUGAUUAUUUAACAAUUACACAAAAGUCUUUUUCAGCAGAAUAAUUUCUACAGGAAUAAUAUAUAUAGUUUUACAAUAUGACAUAGAUGGACAAACUACCGAUGACUAAACUGUAUCUAGAAUAUCUUCGUUGAUAUGUUGCGUUUAAAUUCUGGAUAGUUUGAUGGGUUUCCAAAUAAAAACAAAUACAAAUUGAGGGUCAUACUUUUGUCCUCGAAGUUGUUGACAUAUAAGGCCAGAGAUAUGAUUCGCACCAAAAUGAAUGCAUGUAUAUUGGGUCAAUUUGAUUUCUAUGAAAUUGUUUCUCGAUAAUGUUAUGGACCACUUAAUGAAAGGAUAGGAACAUAUUUAGAUUAUUAAUUACUACCCUUUGUAAAAACACAAAAAAAAGUACAUUUCUGACAUAGGGGACUUUAUCCGAAAUGUUAAAAAAAAAACUAUACAUUUGAUAAUAAUGUAAUCUACUUAUGACAGAUAUAUAUCAAUUUAAGAUUUGAGGACUUCAAACAAAGCUUUAAAAAAAAGCUCUGAAUAGACAUGAAGCAAUUAAAUAAACUAUCGACGGACUACUGGUUGAAAGAGUGUCUGAAACAGAUUUCCUGUUUGAAAAGCAGAUAAACAAACUGCUAAAGUUUACUUAAGUAUGCAAUAAUCAUUCCAUAAAAUUUCUAAACCUUAAAAUAUUCACAGGUGACCAGUUCAAAAAUACUGCUUUAAGACCUGGAAUGCUUUACAAAGAAACCCAAACAAUUCUAAUAUCUUCAUACAAUAUUUAAAAAAAAACAACAUUGAAAAACUAAACGCCAAUGGUCUCGAACGCUGAUUAUACCCCUGAUGUAAAACCAAUCUCUUUAUUUUUAUAUCAAAUACUUUAACUUUAGAAAAUAUGUCAACUUUUACUACCUGAGUUAUUUACUGCUAAUUGAUUGAAUGAUUGUAUGAUGAUUGAUUGAUUGAUUGAUUAAUUGAUUGGUUGAUUGUAGUACAGUUGUUACAUCGUUCAUUAACUUGCAGAGGAAGUGUCA